Molecule: long non-coding RNA, 1196 nt
Filed under: Scleropages formosus (Asian bonytongue)
Lineage: Eukaryota; Metazoa; Chordata; Actinopteri; Osteoglossiformes; Osteoglossidae
Description: lncRNA (ENSSFOG00015029521.1)
Source: RNAcentral
CCUCAUUAAGAAAGGGCAGUACUGCAUACUCUCUCCUCCCUCUCCUUCUUCCUGCAUGGAGCAUUGCAGACUGCACAGAGGGGUGAUAAAUUAUUGCCACCACUGUCUUGCUUGGUCUCUGACUGCAGAGACAAUGUGGGGGCGUCACAGUGCAGCCGGCAAGACCUGCUGCUCAUCGUCAUGCAGAACAAUAGUCCCAGCAUCAUCCACUCACUCUACUCUGCAAUGACAAGCUGCCUCUGUCCCCCUCUAAGGAGAAAGCUCAAAAUACGGAAUAAAUGACAAACCAUGAAAUAUUUUCCUUUGGCUGAAAUUAGUUGGACAGCCAAGGAUGUCCCUCACCCCUGCUGCACACAUCUUAAUCCAUUCAAGGGUUAUUUUCCCAACCAAGAAAAAAAAAUGGUAAUUCCUAAAUAGACUAGUUCCCUGUAACUCAUGUUUGGUGCCUCUGGAAUCCCAAGUCUGAGAUGUAGUUACUUUUUAUUCUGAAGUCAACAAGGAUAUGAAGAUAAACUGAAGAAAGCAAACCUCAGCUAUUGGUUGCACAGCCACAUACAACACACACAAUGUCGUAUAUCGCCUUGUGCAGUGUUCUGAAGGGGCGGGUAAUUUCUAGAUAUUAACAAAAAUGCACUUUGAUCAGUCAAUCAAUAAGGUCAGUGACCCCACACUGAAUCCUGAGGAGUGCAAGAUAAAGCUAUUCUUUCCUUGUUGGUGCUGCUGUUGGUGUCAGGCUUGCAAACCUCCCCCGACCAGAUGGAUGGGUCAGACUUGUGUGCGCGCACAUGUGAGACUUUGGAAAUGACGUUCGUCCGAAGCAGUGGAGGGACACAGCUUGUGCGCUCUCCGGCCUGCUGUGGGGAGAACCGAGGAGGGGGUCCAGGCCGACGACGUCUCCUCCUCCUCCGCUGGCGCUGCUCAGCUUCACCCACAACUGAGUUAUUUAAAAUUACUGUACUUUAAUUACCGGCUCUGAGAAAACACCUUUCGAUUACGCCACUUUCAGCUUCAGCCGUGUACAACGAACAAGUCGGCCUGCUGCGCCCUUUUUCCCUAUGUCAGUAAUGAAAUAGGCCUCGUACUUCUACACUGUGCUCUCGUAAUAACCAAAAUAAUCGGCCCGAGUAAAGCGGUGGAGAGGAAGGCCAUCUUGUUGACAGGCAGCUGCACAGGAGUCCCAGCCAAUCACAGAGCAG